GUGAGGAAUUUUCCGCAAUGGGCGAAAGCCUGACGGAGCAAUGCCGCGUGAAGGAUGAAGGCCUAUGGGUUGUAAACUUCUUUUCUCAGAAAAGAAUUAUGACGGUAUCUGAGGAAUAAGCAUCGGCUAACUCUGUGCCAGCAGCCGCGGUAAGACAGAGGAUGCAAGCGUUAUCCGGAAUGAUUGGGCGUAAAGCGUCUGUAGGUUGUUUAAAAAGUAUUCUGUCAAAGAUUAGGGCUUAACCCUAGAUAGGCAGAAUAAACUUUUAAGCUAGAGUUUGGUAGAGGCAGAGGGAAUUCCCGGUGGAGCGGUGAAAUGCGUAGAUAUCGGGAGGAACACCAAAGGCGAAGGCACUCUGCUGGGCAAAUACUAACACUGAGAGACGAAAGCGAGGGGAGCAAAUGGGAUUAGAAACCCCAGUAGUCC
This 426-nucleotide ribosomal RNA is filed under the name uncultured bacterium. RNAcentral describes it as "partial 16S ribosomal RNA". It matches the Rfam family "Bacterial small subunit ribosomal RNA", at positions 354 to 796 of the family's 1533-position model. The record is from RNAcentral.